RNAcentral lists this ribosomal RNA (484 nucleotides) under uncultured bacterium. Its description in RNAcentral is "bacterial SSU rRNA". It matches the Rfam family "Bacterial small subunit ribosomal RNA", at positions 17 to 518 of the family's 1533-position model. The record is from RNAcentral.
UCCUGGCUCAGGACGAACGCUGGCGGCGUGCCUAACACAUGCAAGUCGAGCGAGGAGAUUCCUCGGGAUGAUCCUAGCGGCGGACGGGUGAGUAACACGUGGGCAACCUGCCUCAUAGAGAGGAAUAGCCUUCCGAAAGGGAGAUUAAUACCUCAUAACAUUGCAGUUUCGCAUGAAACAGCAAUUAAAGGAGCAAUCCGCUAUGAGAUGGGCCCGCGGCGCAUUAGCUAGUUGGUGAGGUAACGGCUCACCAAGGCGACGAUGCGUAGCCGACCUGAGAGGGUGAUCGGCCACAUUGGGACUGAGACACGGCCCAGACUCCUACGGGAGGCAGCAGUGGGGAAUAUUGCACAAUGGGGGAAACCCUGAUGCAGCCAACGCCGCGUGAGUGAUGACGGCCUUCGGGUUGUAAAGCUCUGUCUUCAGGGACGAUAAUGACGGUACCUGAGGAGGAAGCCACGGCUAACUACGUGCCAGCAGCAGC